AAUUUAUCUUAUUCAAACUCAAUGCGAGCGUGACUGAUAGAUAAGUCAGGCCGCGGGGCAGGUAAAAUUUCCGUUGUUUUUGGCGGGUUUGUGUACUUUGUCACGGUGGAGGAAAUGAAAAACCGCGGUGGCGCCAACUGUUGGAAUGUGGCGAUCAACGGCUUUCCAAAUUUCUCCGGCAAGCUCUCUAUCUUAUUUCAGAAGGAUUUUAACAUAAAUGGCAUAUGUGGGCAUACCUUGUGCAUUUUUUUUUCUGCUGAUGUGGAAUCAACCGUUCCAUCCCCUGCAGCAGAAUUCCUUGAAGAAGCAUGGAGCAGUUUUUUCUUAAGCAUCUUUUUCAUGACAUUUACAGCAGAUUUAUCAGCUUCUUUCUCCAUGCGCUUCUCAUCCCUCUCAUAUUUACCUCCACAAUUCUCUUCUGCUACUUUAGUCUUCUGAAAAAGCUCACCAAGUGAUGUCCUAUUUUCUUUCUUUCCGGCGGCUGUUGUUUCUGAGAACUCAACUGCUGAUCCAAAGAGAUAACCCUGCAGUGGGCAGACUGCUGUUCCAUUGGUCUCCUGGCCUUCCAUCGGCUUGCCACUAAGGGUAAUGGUGCUACCAUGACUGCUUCUUCCUGCACUAACAUAACUGUUUCUCCCUGAUGAAUCAUUGCACCAAUCUUCUCUAGCUUCUGCUCUCAGAACCUUCUCCAACUCAUCAUUGAUGAGCUUUAAUUCAUUCUCAGUUACUUCAGUGUCUUUUUCAGUUAUGUUAUCAAAUGAGAGGGCAAAUGUUGGCGUUGAGGGAUCAGUACUGACUGGCUCCGAACCAAGGGUGCCAAUUGCAAGAAAACCAUGAAAUAGCUCAGAUAUGGCAGCUGAUGAUUCCUCUUCAUAUUCUUCUUCCUCUUCUUCAAUUCUUGCUGCUUCCAGACUAGCAAAUGAUUUCCGGAGCAAGCAAAUAAAAUGAACUUGUUGUGUGCUGUGGAGCUAAUAUACCUAUACAAUUCUGAAAGAGGCCUGAAUACCAUCACAGGUAUGAUGAAAAAAAUUAUACGCAAAGGAAAAUGCUGUGGAGAUGAAAAGCUGCUGAGACAGAAUCCAAACCAUGUGUAAGGCUUCCACAUUAUAGUUAUUCAUAUACUACAAGAGUAGGGUCAGGUCAGGUGGAUCUUUUGUGUAAUCUGCUUUUAAGUAGCCAACAAGAUACUACAAUACGAGCUUCCGGACAGUUUCCAGCCACAAACAUCCAUGUAGCCAACUCUGCAGGAGACAGUAAAAAGAUAGAGGCUUUUUGCUACAAAGCAACUGAGAAUAUCAAGCAGACAUAUAAGGUCAAGGUGGUGGCGGCGGCUGUGGCCCGACACGUGUAUGGUUAUCAUUCGGCCAGAGCAUGAGUGAUCAGACAGUGCUAGAUCCCUGAGCAUCAAUCUAAAUUUGUGGUCAAACAACCUGAGACAACCCAUGCCAUCUCAACAAACGUGCUGGCUUUUUAUUUGGCUUUCAACGCGAGUGGCCUCCUCAGGUUGUCUGGAAUAUGGCAUGAACGCACCUCAACAUUCAUAUGCCUCCUAGCAGAAGAAAGACACUGAAAGAGGUAAUCACGUAUUUUGGUUUUGACCAUAACGUUUAGUUUGGAACCUUAAUCUUGUGUUUAUAAUACUUUGAUGGCUUGAUCUUGUUUUUAUGUUUGACAUAAAUUGUUCUAUAAUGUCCAUACUUAGACUUAAAAUGUUAAAUUAUAUAUUUAUAGAUGCCUUACUUCACUAGGUUUUAAA
This is a long non-coding RNA of Mercurialis annua (annual mercury), 1756 nucleotides long. RefSeq lists it as uncharacterized. The transcript has 6 exons. The record is from RefSeq and is a predicted model, not a curated record. NCBI's taxonomy places the organism in Eukaryota, Viridiplantae, Streptophyta, Magnoliopsida, Malpighiales, Euphorbiaceae.